RNAcentral lists this ribosomal RNA (468 nucleotides) under uncultured bacterium. RNAcentral describes it as "partial 16S ribosomal RNA". It matches the Rfam family "Bacterial small subunit ribosomal RNA", at positions 28 to 507 of the family's 1533-position model. The record is from RNAcentral.
GACGAACGCUGGCGGCGUGCUUAACACAUGCAAGUCGAACGGAAAGGCCCUGCUUUUGUGGGGUGCUCGAGUGGCGAACGGGUGAGUAACACGUGAGUAACCUGCCCUUGACUUUGGGAUAACUUCAGGUAACUGGGGUUAAUACCGGGUAGGAGCUCCUGCUGCAUGGUGGGGGUUGGAAAGUUUCGGCGGUUGGGGAUGGACUCGCGGCUUAUCAGCUUGUUGGUGGGGUAGUGGCUUACCAAGGCUUUGACGGGUAGCCGGCCUGAGAGGGUGACCGGCCACAUUGGGACUGAGAUACGGCCCAGACUCCUACGGGAGGCAGCAGUGGGGAAUAUUGCACAAUGGGCGGAAGCCUGAUGCAGCAACGCCGCGUGCGGGAUGACGGCCUUCGGGUUGUAAACCGCUUUCGGCUGUGACGAAGCGUGAGUGACGGUAAUGGGUGAAGAAGCACCGGCUAACUACGUG